UCACAGUAGCUCUAGUGGAAUUAAGAAUGAACUAAUAAAUUGGUAAAUUCCAUUUCAGUUUGUAUCUUGCACAGUCCUUGCUGAUUUCUUUAUCUAGGCGAUGUGAAUUAGGAUGGAAUAUGUCUGAGAACUGACUAAAAUAAUUGGAUGCACAACCUAUGAUGAAAUUAAUGACCGCAUGGCUAUAAUCCACUCACUGGGUUUGAAACUGUUAAG
This is a non-coding RNA of Tinamus guttatus (white-throated tinamou), 216 nucleotides long. The record is from RefSeq and is a predicted model, not a curated record. Lineage: Eukaryota; Metazoa; Chordata; Aves; Tinamiformes; Tinamidae.